UCCGGUUUGUCACCGGCAGUCUGGCGUGAGUCCCCAACUUAAUGCUGGCAACACGCCACGGGGGUUGCGCUCGUUGCGGGACUUAACCCAACAUCUCACGACACGAGCUGACGACAGCCAUGCAGCACCUGUGGUGCACCCUCGAAGGUCACACGUUUCCGUGCGCUUGCAGCACCAUGUCAAGCCCAGGUAAGGUUCUUCGCGUUGCAUCGAAUUAAAGAACAUGCUCCGCUGCUUGUGCGGGCCCCCGUCAAUUCUUUUGAGUUUUAGCCUUGCGGCCGUACUCCCCAGGCGGAACACUUAACGCGUUGGCUGCGGCACAGGAGGAAGGUGGGGAUGACGUGUAACCGAAU
RNAcentral lists this unclassified non-coding RNA (353 nucleotides) under uncultured Rubrobacterales bacterium. RNAcentral describes it as "contains 16S-23S intergenic spacer region". Lineage: Bacteria; Bacillati; Actinomycetota; Rubrobacteria; Rubrobacterales. The record is from RNAcentral.